CUUGCUUUACUCUUUCCUCUUCUCGUUCUCCUACUCUUGCAUUAUCUCUUCCCGCUCCCCUUACAGACCGGUUAUUCACUCAGGCCCUAGACACGCUGUUGAGGUGGAUUAUUGAAUGACUGACUUCACAUAUCAGUCAACCUAAAAAAACAUCGUAGCAGACUCAUCUUUUUCUUUUAAUUAUUGUGAUCAGUAUUUGAAAUAAUUUAUAUCUUUCUAAAUAACAAGAAGAUUGUUUUAGAUGAUAGCUAGACUGAACAGCGAUUAUUUUAAUUAAAAAAAAAAAAAGAAAGAAACACAGGCCCUUGAGUGGAUUUCAUCAUCUGUAGUGUUCUACCAACAACUCGUACUGUCUUCACCUUACAUUGAAUCAUUCAUACUUAACUACGAGUAUUUUUUGUGCCUCCUUUGGUUUCUGACGACUGCAAAACGUUAUGAAACUGCUAUCUCAUCUUUUCAGUUACUAUUUCAUUUUAACAUUUCUAACAUUAUUCAUCUUUCUUCAAGCUACAUCAGCUGUUACACCCGAGUGUGAUUCGAAUAAAUUCAACUGCGACGAUGGGACGUGUAUUGCGUUGAAUGCAUUAUGUGACAGCUUCGAAGACUGUGAUAAUGGAUCGGACGAACACAAUUGUUUUAACGCUACGUGUGGACCCACAGAGUCUUCUUGUGACAAUGGACAGUGCAUUCCGCAAAAAUGGGUUUGUGAUGAAGAAAUAGAUUGUAAUGAUCGAUCUGAUGAAAACCCUAAAACAUGUGCUGAACGAAAAUGUGCAGAUGAUCAUUUCUCUUGUGAAAAUGGUUUGUGUAUCACAGUUGACUGGCUGUGUGAUGGACAAAAUGAUUGCCCGAAUGGAUUAGAUGAAAAAGACUGUGUUCAAGACAAGUGUCUUCCGAAGGAAUUUCGCUGUAGCAAUGGUGACUGUAUCAACAGUGGAUGGGUUUGUGAUGGAGAAAAUGAUUGUGCAGAUGAGUCAGAUGAAAAAGGCUGCGAACCUCAUACAUGCCAGCCUGAUGAAUUUGAGUGCGACACUCAUACUUGUUUAAAUCCAAGCUGGAUAUGUGAUGGCGACAAAGACUGUUCUGACAAUGCUGAUGAAAGUAACUGUACUACAAUCAACAAUGAAUGUACAAGUCUGGAUUUUAUUUGCAAAAAUGAAAUUUGUAUCACUAAAUCCUGGAAGUGUGAUGGGGAUGAGGACUGUCUAGAUGGAAGUGAUGAAGUCAAUUGUACGCACACUUGUGAUAAUGACCAUUUUCUUUGUGAAGAAUCAAAAGAAUGUCUUCAUAAAUUACUUAAGUGUGAUGGUUCUGUUGAUUGCGAAAGUGGUUCUGAUGAAAAAGAUUGUGGCUCCUCAGAAAAUACGUGUACAGAUAGAACAUUUGAUUGCUAUGGCGAUAAAAAGAAAUGUAUUCCAUGGAAUAAAGUGUGUGAUUUCCGUAACGAUUGUGGCAACUGGCAAGAUGAGAACGAUGAUUUUUGUCUGGAAAAAUACCCCUGCAAAGAUGAUAAUGGUGGAUGUCAACAACAGUGCAUUUCUUUGCGUCAUAUGCACCGCUGUGAUUGUUUCACUGGUUUCAAGCUUGUUGGCAACUCCACUUGUCAGGAUGUAGAUGAAUGUGAAAUCUUUGGAACUUGUUCCCAAUUAUGUGAAAACCAUGUUGGCUCCUACAAAUGUAGUUGUCUACAAGGUUAUGAGUUGCACGAUCGAAAUUCUUGCAAGACAGUUGGUCCUCGGCCUUGGUUGAUUGUGUCAAAUAAAGCUGAUGUGCGUAAAUUACAGCUUGGAACCCAUAAAUACAAACUAAUACAUUCAAAAAGUGACAAUGCCAUUGCUCUUGACUUUGACUAUGCAGAAGGGAUGGUUUACUGGACUGACAUUACUCAAGAAAAAAUUUUGAGAGCUCCAUUUGAUGCUGAUGAUGCAGUGAAUUCAUCGGAAACAGUUAUUGGAACUGGCCUAAAACAUCCAGAUGGCUUGGCUGUUGACUGGAUCCACCACAAUAUCUACUGGACUGAUACAGGAUUGACAAAAAUUUUUGUAGCAAAUAAAUCAGGGCAUCAUGUUAAAACAUUGAUAGAUCAGGAACUUCGUGAACCAAGAGCUAUAGCUGUUGAUCCUAAAAGAGGUUGGUUUUAUUGGACUGAUUGGGGAUAUCCAGCUUCAAUUCAAAUGUGUGGCAUGAAUGGGAAAUAUUCACGAAAAAUUGUAGUAAAUAUCCAGUGGCCAAAUGGUUUAACAAUAGAUUAUGAAAAUCAAAGAUUAUAUUGGAUUGAUGCCAAGUUAAGAAAAAUUGAAAGCUCUAAUCUAAAUGGAGGUCAGCGUAUAACUAUUCUCAGCAGCCGAAGAUAUAUUUUGUUCCCUUUUGCUAUAACUGUUUUUGAGGACACUCUGUAUUGGACUGAUCGUAACAGUGAAUCAAUUUGCCAAGCAAAUAAAUUUACUGGAGAACAUUUUGAAAGAUUAGGGCUACAACUUCGUGAACCAAUGGACUUACAUGUUUAUCAUCAUACACGACAACCUUCAUCUACAAGUCACUGUGGCCCCAAUAAUGGUGGAUGUGCACAUCUAUGUUUGCCCGACCCUCGCGACGAUGGACAUACAACUUACUCAUGUGUCUGUGCUGAUGGCUAUUUAUCAUUAAGAAACGGACGUGAAUGUGUUCGCCAAGAGCCUUAUGAUAUUGCUGCUAACAGUUCAACUGUACUGACUAAAUCUAAUGUUUCUCUUACAUCUAAUACUACUACUACUACUCCUAUUAAAAUAAACGAUUCCACUACUGUUACUAUUCCUCCUCCUACCACCACUUCUAUUACUACUUCCCAUCCUAUUAAAGAAAAUAACACCCACAUCCAACCAGCUGCUGCUGUUACUAACAUCUCUACUCUCUCUAAUGAUUCAGGCAAAGCCAUUCAACCUGUUACGAAUCCAUCACAUACAACAACUUCAAAGUCACAAGGUAUUCCACCCAGUACUCGCUCACCUGUUCAAUCAAGUACAAUUACUCCAACAACACAUGGUGAUAAUCAGUCAAAUUCUGAUUCAUCAAUCACUCAAGUAUCAACAGGAAAUAGCUUAAAUCAAACAACUCUUGUUGUUAUUCAAAAACCCAAAGAAACUGGCAAAAUCACAGGAAUUGUUACAACAGUUCUGAUUUUAAUAUUGAUUAUAUUAAUUGUGAUUACUUACGUCUCGUACAAAGCCUAUCGUAAGAAACGAACAAAGCACAUGAACUUUGACAAUCCUGUCUACCGAAAGACAACUGAAGACCGAAUUAUGUUGGAGAAAAACACACCAAAUCAACUUCCAGCGACUCUACAGCCGCUGACCGCUUGAUGGACGGGUAAUGUGGUUUUAGUCUUCCUAGUAAUUGCUAUGUUUCAUAUUGGAUGUCUUCAACAGGGACAUUUCCUAUUACAUCUCUAGCAUCCCUGUAGAAACCUGCUCAAGUCCAGUGACAACAACAAUCUGCUAUGCUGAACUAUUAAUGGAUCAUUCUCUUACACAACACCUCUGGGUUGGUUCCUCCUUCUUUCUUGCAUACCAACAACAUUGUUAUAUUGGCUCCACUGCAUUCAUACUAAACAACUACACAUUUAUAAUAUACAACUAUUUUAUAAUUAGCUCCUCUACAACUGUGUAGUCUUACUUUAUUCAGAUUUUUUAAAGAAUAUUUUAAAAUAUUUUUAAGCAUUUAUUGCAGUAACUUAACAUAUUUUAUUUUAGGAUUUCAUAAUUGUAUGUGUGUGUGUUUGUGUAUGUGUCAGCAAUUAAUACUAAUUAAUUUUAGCAAAAUUUCUUAAUUAUUUGGUGUUGUAUCAACUUGAAUCAAUAUUUCUGUUAUCACUUCUCUCAUUUUAUUUUCUCUUUCUUUUUUAACCCAUCACACACACAAAUAUCUUUUACACAAACAAUUUACUUGUUUUUUCUAGAAUUCAUUAACGGUUUCAUUUUCAAGUUUUGUCUUCUCAAUUUUAGCUUAUCUUCUAUGUCUUAUUAAUAUUUGCUUUAUCGUUCAGAUGUUUAGUGUCACUUAAUAUAGAUACCUCAACAGUUAGUAAGCUUAUAAUUAAACUCAUUGAAAACUACCCAUUAUAAACUCUGUCUCAAGUAUCUAUGCUUGUUGUUUUUUAAUAUUUAUUUUUGUUACAUAAAAUAUUUAUGUAGUUUAAAUUCUUCAUAAGCUAUAGUUUAAAAUCAAAAAGAUGUGGAUAAAUUAAGUAAAUCAAUGAAAGCAAUUAAAACUAAUUUCUAUUUUAAAUUCUUUGAUUUCGUUGAAGUGUUUUGUCAUUUUUAGUGAGGAACACUAAACCAAGUCUCAAAACAAUUUAUUCUACAAUAUUUCCAUUUUAUCUUCAAAAUCAUUGCUAACAAAUUUAUCAAAGCUUUUCAAUCAUCUUACAAAUUAUCUGUAAAAGACUUUUAAACUGUUGUUGAUGUUGUUAUUAUUAUUUGUUAAACAAGUGUAAGUUGAUCCACGAGGUUUUCUCUGUGUGUGUGUGUGCGCGCACAAAUCCACACAAGUAAAAUGGAAGCAUGUCUAUGUUGUUGUUUCAUCCUCAGAUCUGUCUUGUUUGAGCAGAACUAUGAACAAAGAUGUUCCAGCUGUGACCAUCACACUUUACUUGAAGAGUGUAUCUAGGAAUACAUCAUCCCUAUGUUUCCUUUUCAUUUUAAGAUGAUGGGGUAUGAUAUGAGGGAGAUGUGGCUAAUAUUUCUAGCAGAUUGACUGCCUCCCCCUACCACCACCUCACUGACUCGUGUAUACAAGUAGACUUUCAUGUUAGCCAGGUGAUGCGUAAAUUUUUGUAUUUUUUUCCCUUUGCUGCAUCCAACUUUCCCUCAAAACACAAACAUGUCCACCAACAAGAAAUCCAUUCUUAAACUUCUUUUCUAUACAGAUGCUGACGAUCUUCUUCCUCAGGUUUUUUUUAUUAUCAAAUUAGAGUAAUUUAAUUCUAACUAAUUGAUUAUUAGGUUAAUUAUAGACUCUUACUGUUGCUGUCACUUUUUGAAGUGUUCACUUUUCUUGGACACCAAAUAGCUUUCCUGAGUUUUCUAAGAAUCUACUCAGUUUGUGUUGACUCAAAAUACAGAAUCUAUUCUGGUGGAAAUGUAUGUUUGUGUGUGUGUGUAGGAAUCCCAUUUUGAUUUCAACUGGGCUCAGCAUAUAAAUGGGUUUGGAAGCUGAUGGAUUCCUGUCACUGAGAAAUUCCAUAUAUUUGGACGUAGGAGUUUAUAUGUUUAUGUAGGCUUCAACUGUGUCUGGUUUAAUUCAGACUUUUAGAUGCUGCAAACAACUUGCAUUGGGAAUAAAAAUGUAAUUUAGUUUCACGUCAAUGUUCCAUUUGUAUUUGAAAUAAUUUAAUGGCAGUGCCCCAGUAUGGCUACAACCAAUAAUAGAAUAAAUAAAAACUCACAAAAGAAAGCAGUAUAGCAAUGUUGGCAAGGGUGACCAUUUUCAUUAAAUAAUUUUUAAUUGAUAACUUAUUAAUUUCUCCCAGGAAAUUUUAGCUGUGACUGAAAUGGCUGCAAAUUGAAGUUUUUUCUUUCUGUUUUGCUGCUGUAGGUUUAUCUUGCUGCAUUAAUCUAAGUUAUUUAUUAAAAGAACUGAAAACAUCUUCAGAAUAGAUUUUUCAUUUUCUGAAUCCCUGUUGAAAAAAAUUAAUGGCAGACUUGGAGUGAAAAUCAGUGUUCAGGUUUUACAAACUUUGGUGAAAUCUCAAGAAUUAGUGUGUUAGAAUAAGAAUGAAAUUGAGUAAUGAGUUUGUAGCAAAUUCUUAAAUAGGAGAAUACAGGUGGGGGAAGGGGACUGUUUAUUGACAUUGCAUGGUUCAAGAGUUAUAGAAACCUUUGGAAUGGUUGAGAUGCAUUAAUUCAGUCAUCCAUUGGUGAGGAGUCUUUUAUCUUAAAACAGGUGAAAGCACCAAGAACUGAAGCUCUGUUCUGAUUGAUUUAGAGGAAGAUUUCCUAAAGACUCCAUUUCUCUUGAAACAGGAAGACUUAAAUAUUUCUUUGUUUUAACAGACCAAUAGUCCAGCCUCUUGUCAAUUUCAACUCUUCUAAAUAGAUGUUGUAACCAGAGAUCUUUAGUGCUACCUUUCCUUUAAAUUUCGGUCAGAUGUUAUAGCUUAAAGAAGGAUCUUUGACAUAAGAAUUUUCUCUCUCUUAUGUGACUACUGACUUCUGUGGAAUAAUGUACCUCCUAAAAAUAUUGAUGGAAUCAUUGCUUCCCUUCCAAUUUUAGAAUUAUUCUCUUUGCUCAGGAUAACCCACUAAACUUGACAUUAGGCAGAUUGUGCAUAAAAACAUCACAUGAAGGUGUUGUUUACCUGCCAAAAUCUGUGGAAUCUAUUUCUUCUCAGCUUUCAACAAUGGUAAAAUAAAAUCAGUUGGAAUCAGUGGACAUGGCAGGGAAAGCAGUGCUUAUAGAAGAAUGAAAUUCUUCCUGCCUGUUCUCAUUUUAUCUAUUUUCUUUGAUGUGUGUAGGUCUACAAAUUUACUUGUGAGAUAAAACAAUUAUCUCUACUUCGUCUUCUUUCCUCAUUUACUUAACGUCAACUCUCUCGGCUUUCUCUUUCCUUUGCUUCAUUUUUUUGUUUCUUAACAUCAAUCAUUUUUUUUCCCUUCAUGUUGGCAAAGUUGAUGCUUUGCAACCAAAUUACAUCACUAACCAAUAGUGUGUGUGUGUGUGUGUACACACCCUACUGUUGUGAUAUCUUUUAAAUGUAAAUAAAGACAAUGAUUUAUGUAUAAUACUUGGCUUACUACAAUGUAUCUAUAUUUCAUAUCUUCACUAGGAUUAUAUAUAUAUAUAUAUGUGUGUGUGUGUGUCUAUAUAUAUAUACAUGUGUGUAUAUACAUGUAUAUGUGUUUGCGUGUAUAUAUAUAUAUAUAUAUAUAUGCACACAUAUACAUAUAUAUAAAUUAUUUUUAAAAGAUACUUUUUUAAUUCUUAUUUAUGAUUUUUUUUUCCUGUCAAAUUUAAAUCUGAGCUUUUGCUUUUGUAACAUAAUUCAAACCAUUAAUAGCACAUAAAAUAGAUGUAUAAAUUCCUGUAAUAUAAACUUUAAACACACAUAUAUAGAUUUCACUAAAUAUAUAUGUGUGUGUGUGUGUGUGUGUAUUUUUAUUUAAACUGUUUGUCGAUAUAUGUAUAUAAAGUAUCUCUACAAUCAAACUGUUUCUGCCAACAAGCAUUUCUAAAUGGAUUUUACAAUUUUACACAGAAAAUAGAAAAAAAAGAAAAAGGGAAUUAUAUCUUAAUUUUGUUUUAGCCUAAGUUUUCUCAGUUCUGCAUAAUAAUCAAAUGAUACAUCUCUUAGUGUAAUGUUUCCAUUUAUAUUUUUUUUUAAAUCCUUUUGUUGCUAUAUAUUUCUGUUGAAAUAACAAAGAAUUUAAUAAAACAAUUCUGUUGUUAUUAAGCUGGUAUUUGAAACAACAUGAAGUUUGUAUCUUUGUCCCAAGAGCAUUCUUGGACUGAUUUGUAUCAGAAGGGUUAAUUUAGCUUUUUUCUCUUUUGCUUUCAAAAUACUGGAAUUUUAAAUAGAAAAGUUUUUGUUUCAUAAUUGUAAAUUGUACAGAAGUGAAAAAAAAUUGUCUAGUCUUUUAACCAAUUUUAAUUUGUAUAGAAACUUCAGAAUAAAUAUGGUUUUAAUUUAUGUCGUAAGGAAACUUUUAACUUAUAAUUCUUUUCCUGAUGGCUUGAUGCUAUCAAUUUCCUGGUAGUAAUGACAGCCAGAUUGCAUUUCAUUUUAAGGAAGAAAGCAGGGGACCAAUUUUUUUUUUUUGAAUAAAGUUUGUCAUUUUACUGCUGAAGUUUUGAAAGGAAUUUGAGAAAAAUUUCUAUAAAAACAAACAGAAAUCAGUUGGAUUUCUAUUAGAAGUAUUUUAUGGUGGGGUGUUUUUUCCUUUCAUAUUUUGUAAUAUGAAACAAAACAGAAUCUGGUUUUCUUCCCCCUCUCUCCCUAAUAGUUAAGUUCAUUAUCUCUUUUUUUUUUUUAAAUCUAAAAUAUUUCUUGAAACAUUCUACUUUCUGAAUUUUUUCUUUUAAAACUAUCAAGUUCUUCCUUUUUGUAAGAUAAAAAAAAAAAAAGGCAGCUGUGUUGUAAUUUUAACAAAAAGGAAGCAAUCUCAAUUAAGUGUUUUUGUUAUUUUAUUUAUUUAUUUAUUGUAAAAUUUUUAAAAGUCAUGCCACAACUGAUGUUUAUAUUGUGAAGCUGAACUCUGGCAAUAUUUGUCAACACUAUUGUAUAUUUUUCGUGUAUUAUGGACAUUAUGGAGGAUUGCUUAAGGCUAAGUGAAGAAUUAAUAGAAAUAAAAAAAGUUAAACUUAAA
RNAcentral lists this unclassified non-coding RNA (8339 nucleotides) under Octopus sinensis (East Asian common octopus). RNAcentral's name for it is "very low-density lipoprotein receptor, transcript variant X3". Lineage: Eukaryota; Metazoa; Mollusca; Cephalopoda; Octopoda; Octopodidae. The record is from RNAcentral.